UACGUAGGUGGCAAGCGUUGUUCGGAAUUACUGGGCGUAAAGCGUGCGCAGGCGGCUUUGCAAGACAGAUGUGAAAUCCCCGGGCUUAACCUGGGAACUGCAUUUGUGACUGCAUGGCUGGAGUGCGGCAGAGGGGGAUGGAAUUCCGCGUGUAGCAGUGAAAUGCGUAGAUAUGCGGAGGAACACCGAUGGCGAAGGCAAUCCCCUGGGCCUGCACUGACGCUCAUGCACGAAAGCGUGGGGAGCGAACAGG
This 253-nucleotide ribosomal RNA is filed under the name uncultured bacterium. Its description in RNAcentral is "partial 16S ribosomal RNA". It matches the Rfam family "Bacterial small subunit ribosomal RNA", at positions 524 to 776 of the family's 1533-position model. The record is from RNAcentral.